RNAcentral lists this ribosomal RNA (623 nucleotides) under Klebsiella pneumoniae subsp. ozaenae. RNAcentral describes it as "bacterial SSU rRNA". It matches the Rfam family "Bacterial small subunit ribosomal RNA", at positions 67 to 681 of the family's 1533-position model. Lineage: Bacteria; Pseudomonadati; Pseudomonadota; Gammaproteobacteria; Enterobacterales; Enterobacteriaceae. The record is from RNAcentral.
CGGUAGCACAGAGAGCUUGCUCUCCGGUGACGAGCGGCGGACGGGUGAGUAAUGUCUGGGAAACUGCCUGAUGGAGGGGGAUAACUACUGGAAACGGUAGCUAAUACCGCAUAACGUCGCAAGACCAAAGUGGGGGACCUUCGGGCCUCAUGCCAUCAGAUGUGCCCAGAUGGGAUUAGCUAGUAGGUGGGGUAAUGGCUCACCUAGGCGACGAUCCCUAGCUGGUCUGAGAGGAUGACCAGCCACACUGGAACUGAGACACGGUCCAGACUCCUACGGGAGGCAGCAGUGGGGAAUAUUGCACAAUGGGCGCAAGCCUGAUGCAGCCAUGCCGCGUGUGUGAAGAAGGCCUUCGGGUUGUAAAGCACUUUCAGCGGGGAGGAAGGCGUUAAGGUUAAUAACCUUGGCGAUUGACGUUACCCGCAGAAGAAGCACCGGCUAACUCCGUGCCAGCAGCCGCGGUAAUACGGAGGGUGCAAGCGUUAAUCGGAAUUACUGGGCGUAAAGCGCACGCAGGCGGUCUGUCAAGUCGGAUGUGAAAUCCCCGGGCUCAACCUGGGAACUGCAUUCGAAACUGGCAGGCUAGAGUCUUGUAGAGGGGGGUAGAAUUCCAGGUGUAGCGG